GACGUAGGGCGCGAGCGUUGUCCGGAUUUAUUGGGCGUAAAGAGCUCGUAGGCGGCUUGUUGCGUCGGCUGUGAAAACCCAUGGCUCAACCGUGGGCUUGCAGCCGAUACGGGCAGGCUAGAGUUCGGUAGGGGAGACUGGAAUUCCUGGUGUAGCGGUGAAAUGCGUAGAUAUCAGGAGGAACACCGGUGGCGAAGGCGGGUCUCUGGGCCGAUACUGACGCUGAGGAGCGAAAGCGUGGGGAGCGAACAGG
This 253-nucleotide ribosomal RNA is filed under the name uncultured bacterium. Its description in RNAcentral is "partial 16S ribosomal RNA". It matches the Rfam family "Bacterial small subunit ribosomal RNA", at positions 524 to 776 of the family's 1533-position model. The record is from RNAcentral.